UACACACCGCCCGUCACGUCAUGGGAGGUGAAUUGCACCAGAAGUAGCUAGUCUAACCUUCGGGAGGACGGUUACCACGGUGUGGUUCAUGACUGGGACG
Molecule: ribosomal RNA, 100 nt
Filed under: uncultured bacterium
Lineage: Bacteria
Description: partial 16S ribosomal RNA
Rfam family: Bacterial small subunit ribosomal RNA
Source: RNAcentral